Long non-coding RNA from Quercus robur (English oak), 529 nucleotides. RefSeq lists it as uncharacterized. The record is from RefSeq and is a predicted model, not a curated record. The transcript has 3 exons. Lineage: Eukaryota; Viridiplantae; Streptophyta; Magnoliopsida; Fagales; Fagaceae.
GUCAUUCUAGCCUCUAGGUCUCUAACUCACUAUCAUGUUUGCUCUCAUUUGAUUCUAAGAAAGAAAGAGUUUUGUUUAGCAAAAAAAAAGAAAAAGAAAGAAAGGGUUUUCUGUCAUUCUCUAUUUCUCAUAGACCUUCUAGCAAUCCACCACUGACCAUCUCCUCUACUUGCCGCCGGCAAGGAUCUACUGUACAGAAGAAAAGAGGUUAAGGAAAGGCUAAGGGUGUUUAUCCAUGCCAUAGCUACAAGUGUGAGAUACAUGACAGAAGAUCAAUGCUAGAGGUGGUGAUCAAAAUGUGGAUGAAAAUAGAGAAGAUGACUCUGAGGAGGAAACUCUCAAAAGAAGGACAAUGACUCAUAUAAUGAUUAGUCUUCUAAUAUUUAUGUUUUCAAGUUUAGUGAAAGAUAUUAUAGCUUUCAUGUACUAAUGAACAUCUGAUGCUAUUUUGUAGAUGUUUUAAUAUUUUUGUUUUUAUUGCAUUAUGCACUACAAUAAUGGAUUUGUGCUAGUUAUUUCAAUGGAGAAA